This is a non-coding RNA of Echinostoma caproni, 82 nucleotides long. The record is from Rfam. Lineage: Eukaryota; Metazoa; Platyhelminthes; Trematoda; Plagiorchiida; Echinostomatidae.
AGCCUCGUAGCUCAGCUGGUAGAGUAUGCGCGUACAAAGCGUAAGUGGAGUCCAUGCGUGGGUUCAAAUCCCGCCGAGGCUA